This 147-nucleotide non-coding RNA is filed under the name Homo sapiens (human). The record is from Rfam by way of RNAcentral. Lineage: Eukaryota; Metazoa; Chordata; Mammalia; Primates; Hominidae.
GCCAGGCAUGGUGGUGGGUGCCUGUAGUCCCAGCUACUUGGGAGGCUGAGGCAGGAGAAUUACUUGAACCCGGGAGGCGGGGUUGCAGUGAGCUGAGAUUGCGCCACUGCACUCCAGCCUGGGUAACAGAGUGAGACUCUGUCUCAA